AAAAAGUCAAACCCUGGGUUUCCGUGUCUAACUUUGACUGUCCGUCGUAUAUGAUUUUUUUUUUAUAAUUCGUAUUUUUAUUGUUGUUAGAUGAUAAAACAUGAUUAAUAUUUUAUGCAUGACUUGUUUUUUUUAAUUUUUUUCAUAAUUUUUUCAAAUAAGACAGACGGUCAAACGUUGGGCACGGAAACUAGGGUUUGUCUUUUU
Non-coding RNA from Oryza barthii, 207 nucleotides. NCBI's taxonomy places the organism in Eukaryota, Viridiplantae, Streptophyta, Magnoliopsida, Poales, Poaceae. The record is from Rfam.